GUAGUCAUAUGCUUGUCUCAAAGAUUAAGCCAUGCAUGUCUAAGUAUACGCAAAUUAUACUGUGAAACUGCGAAUGGCUCAUUAAAUCAGUUAUAGUUUAUUUGAUGUUUCUUGCUACAUGGAUAACUGUGGUAAUUCUAGAGCUAAUACAUGCGUAAAAAGCCCCGACUUCUGGAAGGGGUGUAUUUAUUAGAUAAAAACCAUCCUCCUCGGAGUUUGGUGAUUCAUAAUAACUUCUCGAAUCGCACGGCCUUGUGCUGGCGAUGCUUCAUUCAAAUAUCUGCCCUAUCAACUGUCGAUGGUAGGAUAGAGGCCUACCAUGGUUGCAACGGGUAACGGGGAAU
This 344-nucleotide ribosomal RNA is filed under the name uncultured Ustilago. RNAcentral's name for it is "SSU rRNA". It matches the Rfam family "Eukaryotic small subunit ribosomal RNA", at positions 20 to 370 of the family's 1831-position model. Lineage: Eukaryota; Fungi; Basidiomycota; Ustilaginomycetes; Ustilaginales; Ustilaginaceae. The record is from RNAcentral.